AUAAUUCUUGAUAGAUCAUAAUGCCUGGAAUGGUUUAUGGUUAAAAUGAUUCGUCGCCAUAGGAUGGGACUGCGGCCUAUCAGCUUGUUGGUGAGGUAAUGGCCCACCAAGGCGAUUACAGGUACGGGCUCUGAGAGGAGAAGCCCGGAGAUGGGUACUGAGACACGGACCCAGGCCCUAUGGGGCGCAGCAGGCGAGAAAACUUUGCAAUGUGCGAAAGCACGACAAGGUUAAUCCGAGUGAUUUCUGCUAAAGAAAUCCUUUGCCAGUCAUAAAACCACUGGUGAAUAAGGGGUGGGCAAGUUCUGGUGUCAGCCGCCGCGGUAAAACCAGCACCUCAAGUGGUCAGGAUGAUUAUUGGGCCUAAAGCAUCCGUAGCCGGCUUUGUAAGUUUUCGGUUAAAUCCAUGUGCUCAACGCAUGGGCUGCCGAAAAUACUGCAUAGCUAGGGAGUGGGAGAGGUAGACGGUACUCAGUAGGUAGGGGUAAAAUCCUUUGAUCUAUUGAUGACCACCUGUGGCGAAGGCGGUCUACCAGAACACGUUCGACGGUGAGGGAUGAAAGCUGGGGGAGCAAACCGGAUUAGAUACCCGGGUAGUCCCAGCUGUAAACGAUGCAGACUCGAUGAUGCAUUGGCAUAAUAGCCAGUGCAGUGUCGCAGGGAAGCCGUUAAGUCUGCCGCCUGGGAAGUACGUACGCAAGUAUGAAACUUAAAGGAAUUGGCGGGGGAGCACCACAAGGGGUGAAGCCUGCGGUUCAA
Molecule: ribosomal RNA, 759 nt
Filed under: uncultured marine group I thaumarchaeote
Lineage: Archaea; Thermoproteati; Nitrososphaerota
Description: SSU rRNA
Rfam family: Archaeal small subunit ribosomal RNA
Source: RNAcentral